This 74-nucleotide transfer RNA is filed under the name Saurida undosquamis (brushtooth lizardfish). RNAcentral describes it as "tRNA-Leu". It matches the Rfam family "tRNA". Rfam says of the family: Transfer RNA (tRNA) molecules are approximately 80 nucleotides in length. Their secondary structure includes four short double-helical elements and three loops (D, anti-codon, and T loops). Further hydrogen bonds mediate the characteristic L-shaped molecular structure. tRNAs have two regions of fundamental functional importance: the anti-codon, which is responsible for specific mRNA codon recognition, and the 3' end, to which the tRNAs corresponding amino acid is attached (by aminoacyl-tRNA synthetases). tRNAs cope with the degeneracy of the genetic code in two manners: having more than one tRNA (with a specific anti-codon) for a particular amino acid; and 'wobble' base-pairing, i.e. permitting non-standard base-pairing at the 3rd anti-codon position. Lineage: Eukaryota; Metazoa; Chordata; Actinopteri; Aulopiformes; Synodontidae. RNAcentral also lists the same sequence under 1 other name. The record is from RNAcentral.
GUUAGAGUGGCAGAGCCCGGCAAGUGCUAAAGACCUAAGCUCUUUUAACAGGGGUUCAAAUCCCCUCUUUAACU